ACAGAGGGUGCGAGCGUUGUUCGGAAUCAUUGGGCGUAAAGGGCGCGUAGGCGGCCUUCUAAGUCGGACGUGAAAUCCCCAGGCUUAACUUGGGAACUGCGUCCGAUACUGGAGGGCUUGAGUGCGGGAGAGGGAUGUGGAAUUCCAGGUGUAGCGGUGAAAUGCGUAGAUAUCUGGAGGAACACCGGUGGCGAAGGCGGCAUCCUGGACCGACACUGACGCUGAGGCGCGAAAGCCAGGGGAGCAAACGGGA
Molecule: ribosomal RNA, 253 nt
Filed under: uncultured prokaryote
Description: partial 16S ribosomal RNA
Rfam family: Bacterial small subunit ribosomal RNA
Source: RNAcentral